UUAUUUCUAAAUACAUUUAUUGUAGUUUAAAGACACAUUACUAUGAAAAUUGUUACUGAGGGUCUCUGUUAUACACUCAGAAACACCAACAAUAUGGAUCGCCUAAAAAAGAAAGACAUUAGGAUAGAAAAGAGGGACAUACAGCAUGACCAUUUCACAGUCUUUGCUAAUGGGCAAUGUUUAAGAAAAGUUACAUUUCAAUUGCUAAACUGAUUUACCUCCAUCUAAUCAAUCAUUUAAAAGAAUCCCACAUAAGUGCCAACAUCUAAUCAAGGGAGGAGUACAAAAUGGCAACACCUGGCAAUUGACAUCUGGCACAAGGGGAAAAAAAAAUUACUAUAAAGGCAAGUAGCAAGAGACAGAGUAUAUUUAUUUUAAGAAACAGAAGGAUAAGGAGAGGAAAACUGAGAGAAAAAAUAAAAAUAUCACUGUGCCGCAUUAAAAGAAACAUAGCGGAUUUUUAUUCUGUGCAUCCUGGACAUGUUUUUCUAUCAAAUUCUGUGGUGAGCCCAGAAAUGUUUAAAUCUACAAAGGGUCUUUGUCAAGAUAGGCCCACUCGACAUUUUAGAGUUCAUACGUCUGGUGUUGCUUGUGAAUCCAUCAUUUCUAUUACUACAAGGAUUAGAGGGAUUAUGGGACUCUGGAUACAGCACUCUAUUAGUGUCCCUAUAAAAUAGAAAUCAAACAGCAGGGGCAUCCAAUUGGUUUCCAUAGCAAUCUGCAAUAUGAUAACGGAAUCAACCUGCACAAUUAAUACAAUCUCACUGUAGUCAGUGUCAUAGUUAACUACUCGAACCUCAAGGUUCUAUGUCAUUGAAUCAUGGAAGGGAAAAUGGUUGCUCUGGACACAACUUUUGUUUCACUGCCAUAGAAACGAGACACACAAUGUGAGCUGCUGACAAAGACCUGCAGAGUAACUCUAGACACAUUAUCCGCAGCUCAUCCCAAAGACACAACAGGCAGAGGUUGAAAUGUCUCAAGAAUGGGAAGAAUUAAGAGAGAUAUAUGAAAAAAGGGAAACAUGGUGUGCUGUGGAACCAGAUGGCAAGCAGUACUGGACCAGAGCCGAGUUGAGGCACUACCCUCAGAAAGACACAAAUCCUUUGAUUUAUCAGUGGCCACCGUAUUCAAGAAUGUCAUGGGCAAGCCAAACUCCAAAACACAGGGAGAAAAGACACUUUUCUAAUGCAGGUAAGUGUACAUUGCACCCCAUGCUCUUGUUUACCGGUCAGACUUUGAAAGUUCAUGAAUGAUGAUACCAAUUGUAAACUGGAUACAAGGAAGAUGCCAAAUAUAAACCAUGUAAUGAAAAAUAGUUUGAUCUAAGUGGGAGAGCGCUAAAUGUUAUUUAAAAUGGCUCUGCCACCUUCUUGGGUCUUUGCAUAUUUUACGUAGACCCUAGAUGGCGACUGCUCAGCUUGCAUUCCAGCGGCCACAGACAGGUCAUUUUAACCUACUUGAACCUAUCCCUUGUGGCUGACGCCAUCUUCUUCUGCAAGGUCCUCUUCAGUUUUUGGUACGUCAUUUGGCAAUAGCUGUUGUCACGCAUGCGUGCAAGUACAGCAGUGACAUUGGCUGAAAAGGAACAGGUUCAGGUACCAUUGGGAGUCUUGCGGAAUUCGGCAAAGUCCACAGACGGUGACAGUGCCACUUACCUACAGAUAAACUAUAGUUUAAAUUGUAGCAUUUAUACCACGUGGUUAAAUAAAUUUUUUAGCCUUCAACAUUAGGCAUGGUGAAGACAAUUGUGGAUAGAUUACAAGUCCCAUGACUAUGUAGCAGUAGGGAUCAUGUGCAUUAGAUUUGUUAGCAUUUAUUAAUAAUAUUAUAUUAGCAUUUAUAUUUAUUAUAUUUGUCUUGAUGUAGUGGAUUAUCAGCGGAAACAUUUGCGUCAGCUAUUUUCUGUUGCAGUUCUGCUGUAGAGGAGAGUGACCUCAUAUAGUCAAAUAAAACACAGGAGUCUCCCACUGUUUUAAAAUGGAGUGACAAUUUUGUUGAAUUGCCACAUUCGUAGUGAGCAGUUUCUCCAGUAGUGCAGUAUGCACGCGUUCUGUGUGUGUAUCUCACUGCAAGAUUAACUAAUUUGCAUGUUUAUUAACAUACAAGAUGAUAUAGAAAAUAGCACAACCAAUUGCUUUUAAUUCGUUUCUAGUGUGUGCUAAAAUUGAAUAGACCAAAUGUCACUCAGCAAGCUGUAGUAGUUACGUUACACAGAGACAGUCACUGCUGCCCUGAGGUAUCAGAAAACAAUGGCUCUGGUUAAGUUGCCAUGAACCUACCCCUGCUCAUGUUCAAACAUUAAAGCAGCAUUGUCCCUCCCCCGCCCCUCAUGAAAAAUGUGUAUUUCAGAAAGACAAUCUUUCCGAAAUACUAAUUUUGACUGUUUUGGCAUUUCACUGAAAUUCCAACCUAGUCAAGAGAUAUACUAAGUCAAAGUAGGGAGUACUUUGUCUCUGUAUAUUUCCUCCGCCUGACUUUCUGACUUCUACAGCUGAAGAAGACCCACCCAAACCAGAUGGCCACACCUGGGAGGGAUAGGUUCACGUAUGUAUAUCUCACCUUUAGCUCCCCCCUCCCCUAGUCACUGGACCCCCAGUGGCGAUGUCUUUAUCGGAUUCUUUGAAAAUUCCCCAGACGGUAACAGCGCCACUUUAAUAUAAAUCUACCGAACUCCUCAGUAAGGUGAGAAAAUAGUGGUGGUAAUAAAUGGUGAUUAAAAAAUAACUCCUUGACGAUGAGGGAGUCAAGGUACGUCUAAAUGGACAACAUACAUAGGAAACAUUCUUAACAAAUCCUAAAAAAUCUCAAGAGUUACUAAUAUACUGAUCUUGAAGUUUGCAGUUAAUCCCUUUUUCACAUUAUAUACAUGCAGAAACUAAUUAAACUUAUUAAGCUAAUCAGUGCUCUAGUAUAUAAAUGUAUGGAAGCAGGACUGAGCAUGGACGUGUGAUGUCUUGAGAGGGGAAAGUGCACAAACUCACAAGCAUAUGACACUCGUGAUACCGCUGUACCACUCGUGUGUGCUAUAUGUUAAUACUUUCCAAUGAUAAUGCAUAGGUAAACGUUAACAGUGUGACAUGCGCUUGCAUGGAUUUCUGUAGAUCAAGUAAUGUUUGCUUACUUCCUUUUAGAAUGGUAAGGCAAAAUAUGACCAGGUUAUUCUGUCUUUUGUUACAGGUAAAGGACAUUUGGUGUGAUUGAUAUGGAAGUCAUCUCUAAGGAGGAGAUGCUGGGAAUGGAAUUGUGGAUGAAAACUGGACAAUAUGGACAAAAUAGAAAUCGUUCAUUUAUAAAAGGAGAUAAUGUGUUCUAAUAUGAAUGGAUAAUGCAGUAAUAGAUUCCUUGAAUUGAAAUCAUUUCACAGAAUAAAGGGUCUACCGUAGGCUUGCUGUGUCACAUUUAUUAGUGAUGAUCCCCCAACCACUCCUGUAAUGCUCAGCCAAAUCUUCUGGCAGCCUAAAUAGAAAGGGAAGUAUAGUUUACAAACAGCAUCAGCUGACCAGUAUCUGUCAAUGGGAGGGAACAGCAGGCUGUAGUGGGUUUUGUGCUUGGAGUGUUUCUUUAAAGAUCAGGCACUUAAUAAGCUUGUGAACUGCAAAUCCUAUUAUUCCUAACAAUGCCUAGAGCCUCAUGGCUGUUGCAGAUCACAAACAUUAUUAAACAUCAGGCACUGCAUGGCUGUGAACUAUAAAUUCUAUGAUGGGCAAUCAAGCUUAUGGGAUGGCUGAGCAUCAUCCUGCCCAAUCUCACAGCCCCCCAUUUUGUAAGCUAGUUGGGAGUUCGUCGAACUUCCCAAUUGUCCCAUUGCUGUCCCAAGUAGUGAAGCCGUGCCAAAAGGCCCGUGAGGUCCUAUAUGGCCAGUCCUGACUGUAUAGUUGACCUUAAUAUCAUUAUUCUGACACUGGAUCAAGAGCUCUGCAGAUGGUGAUGAACUAGUUUUAGAGAAGGAUCAUAUUAGAUGUGGUUUAUCAAUUGUCCACGCCUGCAUGAAUAUAAGCUACAUUCUCCUCUUAAUAACAUGAUUUUAUUUGUGUACUUAACAUUUACUUAAAACAACUUAGAUCCAAAUUUUAGUAUUGCAAUUAUUAUUACUACUAAUAUUUAUAUAGCGCCAGCAUAUUCCGUAGCGCUUUACAAUAUUAUCAGAGGGGGAAAUUUAACAAUAAAUGAGACUAUUACAAAAACUUACAGGAACAAUAGGUUCCAAUAGGGCGCUGCUCAAACGAGAAAAUUCAAAAUCAGUUAGAGCAAUUAGAGACUUGAAUUCCAUAUUAAUUAAGUAGCCUAACUGUGCAAUACAGCUUUUCUCAGUGGUUGGAUUUGCAACUGAUUUAGGGGUCUGUAAAACAUGCAUAACACCCAGUGUUACUCACUAAAUUGUGAGUAUUUAGGCCUAAGGAAGGAAAAAUUUGCCAAGCCAAUUUGGGCUAAUAUUUGUAAUUCCCUCUGAGUUCCCUUUACGUUCCCAAAGAGUUUACAGUUUAGUAAAAGUCCUGAAUUCUGCAUUCUUCAAACAUUUAAAAUCAAAUUGCGAUCUGGCAAACUUCCUGCCAGGUUUACUUAAUGUAUCAUAAAUAAAUCCCAUUUAAAAUUAGUUGUUAAAAAAACAGUACAAAACAUUAAACAGCUGGGGACUUUAAUAUUUCUUUAGCCACGACCAGCAAUUAGCAAGGGAUCACAGGAGCCGUAGGUAGCAAAAUCAAUUAAAUGCCCACUUCUGCAUUCCUUCCCACAGUAUCAGCUUAACACAAUUUCCCAGUUGGACAUGUGAUAAUGCUUUUGUCUGGCUUGUUACUCCUUUACUGCGAGCAUCUUAUACAUGGCUUAAUCAAAACAUUCUGCAUUCAUGGUGGAGGGAGCCAUAGUACCAAGAUGGUGACUGGGUACUUGUACAGACUAGGCUGGGUAGAUGUUGCUUUGAAAAUGCAUCUAAAGAGCAUAGGUUGGUAUACAGCUGGGUACUGAAGGAGUAUAAAAGUAAUGAGGGUGGUUUAAGAGUUAUGCAAGAAAAAAACAAACAAACAAAAAAAGAAACACAGAAAACCCCCCCACACUGUUGGAACCAUUGGUUUGUUAUUUUCAAAGCUAGUUAAUAAACUGCUCAUUGCAGUUUCAUGGGACACUGGGUGGAUCUUAUUAACUUUCAAUAUAAAACAUAAAAAACACCCUACAAUUGCUUAAAUGUGAUGCAAAGUUAAUGAUUCGUCUAAGGCAAAGGAAAGGUUUUUUUACUGUAAGAACAAUCAGGAUGUGGAAUUCUCUGCCUGAAGAAGUGGUUUUAUCAGAGUCCAUACAGAUGUUCAAACGGCUACUAGAUGCAUACUUGCAAGAACAGAAUAUUCAAGGAUAUAAUCUUUCAAUGUAGGGUAAUAACUGCUUGAUCCAAGGAUAAAUCUGACUGCCAUUCUGGGGUCAAGAAGGAAUUUUUUUCCUAGCUUG
This 5439-nucleotide long non-coding RNA is filed under the name Pelobates cultripes (western spadefoot toad). Lineage: Eukaryota; Metazoa; Chordata; Amphibia; Anura; Pelobatidae. The record is from RNAcentral.